This 304-nucleotide long non-coding RNA is filed under the name Rattus norvegicus (Norway rat). Its description in RNAcentral is "long non-coding RNA NONRATT007394". Lineage: Eukaryota; Metazoa; Chordata; Mammalia; Rodentia; Muridae. The record is from RNAcentral.
CAGGUUGGAGGCUGGUUUUUAUACAGAGGUAACUCACAGGGUGGAUCACCAGCCUGCUGCUGCAGGGCACCAGUCUGGCAGAAGUCCCGUCAGGGAUGGCUGUGGGAAGACGAUGUUACAUAGACUGCCCGGUACACAGUCACACCAGACACAAGCAAGGACCCACGGGCACUGAGCAGGAUGGGAUGGGUAGGCUGGGCAAGUGUCCGGGAGGCCAGGAGGCCAGUUUCUGACCACUGGCAUGCUGCAUCUGGGUGACAGGGUGACUUGGAGUCAGAUGAGUGUGGCAACCCUGUGUGGGGUA